AUGGCGUGGGAGGAAGAUGGCUUGGAAGAGGAGCACGAGGAGGAUAUGGAAGCGUCGGAGGAGGAAGGGGAGGAUGUGGUGGUGGGGCAGAUGCCAACGUUCAUGGUCCCAAAGCACAUCAAUAAGCGCGCCCUGAAGAACAAGGCCCUCUCCGUCUCCCUCGACAAGAAAGCCCUCAAGGAUUUCGUGACUGGGUUUCACAAGAGAAAGAAGAAGAGGAGAAAGGAGGCGCAGAGAAUUACGCAGGAGAAGGACAGACGGAAGCGAAUCGAGGCACGCAAGAUGAGAAAGCAAGAGAAAGAGAUUGCUCUAUACGGUAAAGUCGUGUCAUCAGAAAAUGUGGAUGGUGAAGACGGUGAUGGUGAUGGUGACGGGAUGGAUGCAGCUGCGCCUGAAAUCAAGACGUAUGAAGAUGGCGGGACUAGAAUAACAGUAGUCACCUGUGAAAUUACUCAUGGAGAGGAGGAUGACCAGAAAUCCGUGUCAAGGAGCUAUGCUAAGAAGAGUUGCGGUGUGGUUAGUGCCAAGAAGCAGCCCAGUUUAGGCGUGAAGAAGCCGCCACCAAAGAGGCAAUUCAGCAAAAGCAAGAAGACUAAAAAGGUUGACACGAGUAGACGGAAGAACAAAGGAAAGCAUUGA
This 639-nucleotide ribosomal RNA is filed under the name Triticum aestivum (bread wheat). RNAcentral's name for it is "partial small subunit ribosomal RNA". Lineage: Eukaryota; Viridiplantae; Streptophyta; Magnoliopsida; Poales; Poaceae. The record is from RNAcentral.